Molecule: unclassified non-coding RNA, 159 nt
Filed under: uncultured Hyaloscypha
Lineage: Eukaryota; Fungi; Ascomycota; Leotiomycetes; Helotiales; Hyaloscyphaceae
Description: sequence contains ITS1
Source: RNAcentral
UUGAGCUCCCCACUUCUUGAGGUGGGUGAUUUCAAAACCGUGUUUACAUUACCUUUGUUGCUUUGGCGGGCCGCCUUCGGGCGUUGGCUCCGGCUAACUGCGCCCGCCAGAGGACCCAAACUCUUUGUUUAGUGAUGUCUGAGUACUAUAUAAUAGUUA